GUUACCAGCACGUUAUGGUGGGCGACUCUAAGGAGACUGCCGGUGACAAACCGGAGGAAGGUGGGGAUGACGUCAAGUCAUCAUGGCCCUUACGGCCUGAGCUACACACGUGCUACAAUGGUCGGUACAAAGGGUUGCCAAGCCGCGAGGUGGAGCUAAUCCCAUAAAACCGAUCGUAGUCCGGAUCGCAGUCUGCAACUCGACUGCGUGAAGUCGGAAUCGCUAGUAAUCGUGAAUCAGAAUGUCACGGUGAAUACGUUCCCGGGCCUU
RNAcentral lists this ribosomal RNA (270 nucleotides) under uncultured Pseudomonas sp. Its description in RNAcentral is "partial 16S ribosomal RNA". It matches the Rfam family "Bacterial small subunit ribosomal RNA", at positions 1114 to 1382 of the family's 1533-position model. Lineage: Bacteria; Pseudomonadati; Pseudomonadota; Gammaproteobacteria; Pseudomonadales; Pseudomonadaceae. The record is from RNAcentral.